GAGCAAACAGGAUUAGAUACCCUGGUAGUCCACGCCGUAAACGAUGUCGACUUGGAGGUUGUGCCCUUGAGGCGUGGCUUCCGGAGCUAACGCGUUAAGUCGACCGCCUGGGGAGUACGGCCGCAAGGUUAAAACUCAAAUGAAUUGACGGGGGCCCGCACAAGCGGUGGAGCAUGUGGUUUAAUUCGAUGCAACGCGAAGAACCUUACCUACUCUUGACAUCCAGAGAACUUAGCAGAGAUGCUUUGGUGCCUUCGGGAACUCUGAGAC
RNAcentral lists this ribosomal RNA (270 nucleotides) under Mesorhizobium sp. Its description in RNAcentral is "partial 16S ribosomal RNA". It matches the Rfam family "Bacterial small subunit ribosomal RNA", at positions 766 to 1035 of the family's 1533-position model. The record is from RNAcentral. Lineage: Bacteria; Pseudomonadati; Pseudomonadota; Alphaproteobacteria; Hyphomicrobiales; Phyllobacteriaceae.